AGUGAAUAGAUACCCGGGUAGUCCUGGCCCUAAACGAUGAGCACUAGGUGUUGGAGGCAUCAAACCCUUCCAGUGCCGUAGCUAACGCAUUAAGUGCUCCGCCUGGGGAGUACGGCCGCAAGGUUAAAACUCAAAGGAAUUGACGGGGGCCCGCACAAGCGGUGGAGCAUGUUGCUUAAUUCGACGCAACGCGAAGAACCUUACCAGGCCUUGACAUCUGUCGAACCCUCCUGAAAGGGAGGGGUGCCCGCAAGGGAGCGACAAGACAGGUGGUGCAUGGCUGUCGUCAGCCCGUGUCGUGAGAUGUUGGGUUAAGUCCCGCAACGAGCGCAACCCUCACUGACUGUUGCCAGCGGAUAAUGCCGGGGACUCUGUCAGAACUGCCGGAGCAAUCCGGAGGAAGGCGAGGAUGACGUCAAGUCAGCAUGCCCCUUAUGGUCUGGGCUGCAAACAUGCUACAAUGGCCGGUACAAAGGGCUGCUAGGCCGCGAGGCUACGC
This 499-nucleotide ribosomal RNA is filed under the name uncultured bacterium. RNAcentral describes it as "bacterial SSU rRNA". It matches the Rfam family "Bacterial small subunit ribosomal RNA", at positions 774 to 1268 of the family's 1533-position model. The record is from RNAcentral.